RNAcentral lists this ribosomal RNA (414 nucleotides) under uncultured microorganism. RNAcentral's name for it is "bacterial SSU rRNA". It matches the Rfam family "Archaeal small subunit ribosomal RNA", at positions 330 to 745 of the family's 1478-position model. The record is from RNAcentral.
GCGCAGCAGGCGAGAAAACUUCACACUGUGCGAAAGCACGAUGAGGGAAUCCCAAGUGCUUGCACGUAAGUGUAAGCUGUUUCUCUGUUUAAAACGCAGAGAGAGUAAGGGCUGGGUAAGACGGGUGCCAGCCGCCGCGGUAAUACCUGCAGCUCAAGUGGUGACCGUUAUUAUUGGGCCUAAAACGUCCGUAGCCGGUUUAAUAAAUGCCUGGGUAAAUCGUGUAGCUUAACUAUACGAAUUCCGGGUAGACUGUUAAACUCGAGACCGGGAGAAGUUAGAGGUACUCCUGGGGUAGAGGUGAAAUUCUGUAAUCCUAGGGGGACCACCAGUGGCGAAGGCGUCUAACUAGAACGGGUCUGACGGUGAGGGACGAAGCCCUGGGGCGCAAACGGGAUUAGAUACCUGUGUAGU